ACGACGCUGGCGGCGUGCUUAACACAUGCAAGUCGAACGGAGCACCCUUGAUUGAGGUUUCGGCAAAUGAUAGGAAUGCUUAGUGGCGGACUGGUGAGUAACGCGUGAGGAACCUGCCUUUCAGAGGGGGAUAACUGCUCGAAAGGGUGGCUAAUACCGCAUGAGACCUGAGGGUGAAAGCGGGGGAUCGCAAGACCUCGCGCAAUUGGAGCGGCCGAUGCCCGAUUAGCUAGUUGGUGAGGUAAAGGCUCACCAAGGCGACGAUCGGUAGCUGGUCUGAGAGGACGACCAGCCACACUGGGACUGAGACACGGCCCAGACUCCUACGGGAGGCAGCAGUGGGGAAUUUUGGACAAUGGGGGCAACCCUGAUCCAGCCAUGCCGCGUGCAGGAUGAAGGCCUUCGGGUUGUAAACUGCUUUUGUCAGGGACCGAAAAGGACCGUGUUAAUACCAUGGUCUGCUGACGGUACCUGAAGAAUAAGCACCGGCUAACUACGUG
RNAcentral lists this ribosomal RNA (500 nucleotides) under uncultured bacterium. RNAcentral's name for it is "bacterial SSU rRNA". It matches the Rfam family "Bacterial small subunit ribosomal RNA", at positions 33 to 507 of the family's 1533-position model. The record is from RNAcentral.